This 92-nucleotide transfer RNA is filed under the name Candidatus Babelota bacterium. Its description in RNAcentral is "tRNA-Ser". It matches the Rfam family "tRNA". From Rfam's summary of the family: Transfer RNA (tRNA) molecules are approximately 80 nucleotides in length. Their secondary structure includes four short double-helical elements and three loops (D, anti-codon, and T loops). Further hydrogen bonds mediate the characteristic L-shaped molecular structure. tRNAs have two regions of fundamental functional importance: the anti-codon, which is responsible for specific mRNA codon recognition, and the 3' end, to which the tRNAs corresponding amino acid is attached (by aminoacyl-tRNA synthetases). tRNAs cope with the degeneracy of the genetic code in two manners: having more than one tRNA (with a specific anti-codon) for a particular amino acid; and 'wobble' base-pairing, i.e. permitting non-standard base-pairing at the 3rd anti-codon position. The record is from RNAcentral.
GGAGAGAUGGCUGAGUGGUCGAAAGCGGCGGUCUUGAAAACCGUUAUUUCGAGAGAUCGGGAUCGAGGGUUCGAAUCCCUCUCUCUCCUCCA